UACGGGAGGCAGCAGUGGGGAAUAUUGCACAAUGGGCGCAAGCCUGAUGCAGCCAUGCCGCGUGUAUGAAGAAGGCCUUCGGGUUGUAAAGUACUUUCAGUCGUGAGGAAGGUGUUAAGGUUAAUAACCUUAGCAAUUGACGUUAGCGACAGAAGAAGCACCGGCUAACUCCGUGCCAGCAGCCGCGGUAAUACGGAGGGUGCGAGCGUUAAUCGGAAUUACUGGGCGUAAAGGGCACGCAGGCGGUUAAUUAAGUUGGAUGUGAAAUCCCCGGGCUUAACCUGGGAAUGGCAUUCAAGACUGGUUAGCUAGAGUCUUGUAGAGGGGGUAGAAUUCCAUGUGUAGCGGUGAAAUGCGUAGAGAUGUGGAGGAGUACCGGGUGGCGAAGGCGGCCCCUGGGACAAAGACUGACGCUCAUGUGCGAAAGCGUGGGGAGCAAACAGGAUUAGAUACC
This 454-nucleotide ribosomal RNA is filed under the name uncultured bacterium. Its description in RNAcentral is "bacterial SSU rRNA". It matches the Rfam family "Bacterial small subunit ribosomal RNA", at positions 340 to 786 of the family's 1533-position model. The record is from RNAcentral.